This 1107-nucleotide ribosomal RNA is filed under the name Triticum aestivum (bread wheat). RNAcentral describes it as "partial small subunit ribosomal RNA". The record is from RNAcentral. Lineage: Eukaryota; Viridiplantae; Streptophyta; Magnoliopsida; Poales; Poaceae.
AUGCCAUGCGGCUUCGAGAUUAACUUCCCAGUACUCCUAGAGAAGGCCAAGGACCUAGACUUGGACAUCCCUUACAAUCACCCUGUUUUGGAAGAGAUAUAUGCCAAGAGGAAUCUGAAGCUCUCUAAGAUACCUCUGGAUGUGCUACACGCCAUACCAACGACCCUACUUUUCAGCGUGGAGGGAAUGGUAGACUUACCAUUGGACUGGGAAAAGCUACUCAGGUUGCGCUGUCCAGAUGGCUCCUUCCAUUCCUCGCCUGUUGCCACAGCUGCUGCGCUUAGUUACACCGGCGACAAGGAAUGCCUAGCAUUCCUAGAUAGGCUUGUCAAAAAGUUCAAGGGGGGAGUGCCAUGUAGCCACUCUAUGGAUACUUUUGAGCAGUUAUGGGUGGUCGACUGGCUCAUGCGUCUCGGGAUAUCAAGGCACUUCACAAGUGAAAUUCAGCGAUGCUUAGAGUUUAUUUACAGGCGUUGGACUCAGAAGGGACUGGCGCAUAACGCGUACUGUCAAGUCGUGGAUAUUGAUGACACGUCCAUGGGUUUCCGUCUCCUCCGUCAGCAUGGCUACGACGUCACUCCAUCGGUGUUUAAGCACUUUGAGACCAAGGAUGGAAAUUUCUUCUGUUUCCCCAUGGAGACCAACCAUGCAUCUGUCACCCCGAUGUACAACACUUACCGUGCUUCGCAGUUCAUGUUCCCUGGUGACGACGAAGUACUGGCACGGGCCGGGCGCUAUUGCCGUGCAUUCCUCCAAGAGAGACAAGCCUCCAACAAACUGCACGACAAAUGGAUCAUUACCAAGGACCUGCCGGGCGAGGUCGAGUACACACUGAACUUCCCCUGGAAAGCAAGUUUGUCACGAAUUGAAACAAGGAUGUAUCUGGAUCAGUACGGAGGCAACACAGAUGUCUGGAUUGCUAAGGUCCUCUACAGGAAUGAGGAUUCACCGGGGCGUUUUAACACAGUAGACGCAGAUGCUUAUAUCAUCUUCGAGAGACUGAGCCGGCUAUAUUCUUACUUGAGAGUAUGCAUAGGUGGUAUUUCAGGAACCAUCUGCAGAGGUAUGGUGGGACUCCAAAGAGCGCGCUCACGGCUUACUUCUUAG